CUAUUAGUGGGGGACAACAUUUCGAAAGGGAUGCUAAUACCGCAUACGCCCUACGGGGGAAAGCAGGGGAUCAUUUGACCUUGCGCUAAUAGAUGAGCCUAAGUCGGAUUAGCUAGUUGGUGGGGUAAAGGCCUACCAAGGCGACGAUCUGUAGCGGGUCUGAGAGGAUGAUCCGCCACACUGGGACUGAGACACGGCCCAGACUCCUACGGGAGGCAGCAGUGGGGAAUAUUGGACAAUGGGGGGAACCCUGAUCCAGCCAUGCCGCGUGUGUGAAGAAGGCCUUUUGGUUGUAAAGCACUUUAAGCGAGGAGGAGGCUACUGGUAUUAAUACUACUAGAUAGUGGACGUUACUCGCAGAAUAAGCACCGGCUAACUCUGUGCCAGCAGCCGCGGUAAU
RNAcentral lists this ribosomal RNA (400 nucleotides) under uncultured bacterium. RNAcentral's name for it is "bacterial SSU rRNA". It matches the Rfam family "Bacterial small subunit ribosomal RNA", at positions 130 to 524 of the family's 1533-position model. The record is from RNAcentral.